AAAGAUUAAGCCAUGCAUGUCUAAGCAUAAACCGAAUAUGGUAAAGCCGCGAAUGGCUCAUUACAACAGCCAUAGUUUAUUGGAUCUUAGAGUCCUACUUGGAUACCUGUGGUAAUUCUAGAGCUAAUACACGCAAUCAAGCCCCAACCUUACGGGCGGGGCGCAUUUAUUAGAACAAAACCAAUUGGCUUCGGCCAUAGCUUGGUGAAUCUGAAUAACUACGCUGAUCGCACGGGCUUGUCCCGGCGACGUAUCCUUCAAGUGUCUGCCUUAUCAACUUUCGAUGGUAGUUUAUAUGACUACCAUGGUUGUAACGGGUAACGGAGAAUAAGGGUUCGACUCCGGAGAGGGAGCCUGAGAAACGGCUACCACAUCCAGGAAGGCAGCAGGCGCGCAAAUUACCCACUCUCAGAACGAGGAGGUAGUGACGAAAAAUAACGAGACAGUUCUCUAUGGGGUCUGUCAUCGGAAUGGGUACAAUCUAAACCCUUUAACGAGGAUCUAUUGGAGGGCAAGUCUGGUGCCAGCAGCCGCGGUAAUUCCAGCUCCAAUAGCGUAUAUUAAAGUUGUUGCGGUUAAAAAGCUCGUAGUUGGAUCUACGAUCAAGGCUUGUGGUCGUCCUUCUCGGAUGUACUGCUUAGUCUGGUCGAAUUAUCUGGUGAACGAUUGAUGCUCUUCACUGAGUGUCUCUAGUUGCUGGAACGUUUACCUUGAAAAAAUUGAAGUGCUCAAAGCAGGCUUACGCCUGAACAUUGUUGCAUGGGAUAAUCGAAUAGGACUUCGGUUCUAUUUUGUUGGUUUCGGAACGCGAAGUAAUGAUUAAUAGGGACAGACGGGGGCAUUCGUAUUGCUGCGUUAGAGGUGAAAUUCUUGGAUCGUAGCAAGACGACCUACUGCGAAAGCAUUUGCCAAGAAUGUUUUCAUUAAUCAAGAACGAAAGUUAGAGGUUCGAAGGCGAUCAGAUACCGCCCUAGUUCUAACCGUAAACGAUGUUAACUAGCGACUCGCAGGUGUUACUUUAACGGCCCUGCGAGGAGCUCCCGGGAAACCUAAGUGUUCGAAUUCCGGGGGAAGUAUGGUUGCAAAGCUGAAACUUAAAGGAAUUGACGGAAGGGCACCACCAGGAGUGGAGCUUGCGGCUUAAUUUGACUCAACGCGGGGAAACUCACUUGGUCAGGACACUGUAAGGAUUGACAGAUUGAAAGCUCUUUCUUGAUUCGGUGGAUGGUGGUGCAUGGCCGUUCUUAGUUGGUGGAGUGAUUUGUCUGGUUAAUUCCGAUAACGAGCGAGA
RNAcentral lists this ribosomal RNA (1291 nucleotides) under Nematoda environmental sample. RNAcentral describes it as "SSU rRNA". It matches the Rfam family "Eukaryotic small subunit ribosomal RNA", at positions 39 to 1340 of the family's 1831-position model. Lineage: Eukaryota; Metazoa; Nematoda. The record is from RNAcentral.